UCCCUCCUGCUGAACUCUUCCUACCCGGGCUCUGAACACAUCCCUGAGCUGCAGAGCUGACGUCUGGGUGACAGUGAAACGGGGUAUUCAUUUGUACCAAAACAAACAAACAAACAAACAAAACCUGGAAUGACGGUGUGUGGAUUUCUUGUGUGCUUAUUCGUAGGAUUGAGAAAGGGUGAGGCUAAGGUCCCGAGCCUUCGUGAAGCAAUGGAGAAAGUGCCGUCCCAAGGCUCAGUUCCACACGGCGCUGUGAGGCUGAAGGGGCUCACUGGAAGUUCCCCUCACAGGACGCCACCUCACCUGAAACCCUCUUUUUCUGCUACCAUCCAAGGGACAAGAUCUCCUGAGUUGUCGAAGACUCACUCCGGAAGAAAACCCUCUCAGGCAGUUACUGAGGGACUGUGGUCUGGACUAGAACGUGUUUUUCUCAGUGACACCUCUAGAGGGCAGCACUCAACGGAGUCCCACAGACACCUCCCUGCAUUUCCUCCUCAGACACUGGGUGGAUGAUAUGGUAACACUGGGGAAUGCUUGGGUGUUCUCCUGGAAGCUCCUUAUUUUAAUCACCUGUUUACUUGUCUCCAUUCUUAUAGAUAUGUAGGCUACCCGAGGGCAGAGACUGAGUCUGUCUUGUUCACUGUCUACCUCCAGAACCUCACACAGAAUCUGGCACUUAGUAGGUGCACAACAAAAUAAUCAUUGAAUUAGUAUACUGAGUCUUUAACAGAGUCUCUUUCUGUUUAUUGAGUUGACACGAUGUAUCCAAAAGCAGCUGAAUGCACAACUCAAACUGUCAUCCAAGCACACAAAGAAGGCAUUGAUGAAAAAGCUGAGACAGGUUACAACGGGAGUGCCAGAGAGAUGUCACUUAAAAUGAGAACUUCUCAGGGUAAGUCUCAUGGUGUUCAUGGCCUUUAAAGUAGGUUCUGAGACACAAUUUUAUGCAGAGGUCCCUUUCUGUGUUCUUCCAAGCCUACAGUAUUACUACAAUAUGACCUUAUCACAUGACCCAUGAAAGAAAACAACUCAAGGUAAUGGCCACAUCUAUUUCUAUUCUUUUCGUCUUAUUCAUGUUCUUGUGUGUCCUUGGAUGGGGAAGGCUGUGUGGGAUCCUGAGCUGAUGACCUCAGCUCAUUCACGGUGCCCCAAGCAUGAAAACAAGGAAAGGGCAUUCUCAGGGCACUGGGGAUGGUUCCUCUAGCAGAUACUCUGAGAGGUCUGGCCUUUUAGCCUGGAGAUAGUUGCCAGACCUGUUCAGGGAGCCACAUCCCUUCCACUUUAACCACCUUCUCCCUCUCCACCACCACAGCUACCACCCCACACACACAUAGGCAUCGCCUGGUGUUAAAAUCUUCAACUGUGGCCGGGCACGGUGGCUCACACCUGUAAUCCCAGCACUUUGGGAGGCCGAGGCGGGCGGAUCACGAG
This 1431-nucleotide long non-coding RNA is filed under the name Homo sapiens (human). RNAcentral's name for it is "HSALNT0334671". Lineage: Eukaryota; Metazoa; Chordata; Mammalia; Primates; Hominidae. The record is from RNAcentral.